Molecule: long non-coding RNA, 9812 nt
Filed under: Homo sapiens (human)
Lineage: Eukaryota; Metazoa; Chordata; Mammalia; Primates; Hominidae
Description: HSALNT0218794
Source: RNAcentral
AUGAGCUCAGCCAGAGUACUUCUCAGAGAGGAUACCACGUGGAUGCAAAUAAGAGCAGAGAAAGCACCGAGUAGUUACAAUGGUCCUUGCUGGGUGUUUGGAGAAGCUAAUUAUUUGAGAGAGAAACAAGCCUAGGAAAGACUUUUGGGAUUAGGUGAAAAGUGUACCCUUGCAGGGAGCAAGAAGCCAUGCCAUGCCCAGGCUUUCGAUCGCUCCACCACAGGAUAUCAUUGUCCACAGGCCCUAACUUUAGUUCUUGAUUUUUCCAACCUCUCUUUAAAGUUUAUUCUUAUUUUCCAAAACUUAGAAACCAUGCCCAAUGGAAUAUUGGCUGUGAAAUGAAUGAAUGUGUGUCUCUGUUAGAUCAGCCAGGCUGUUUCUCUUAACACAUUCCCCCGACAUGAUUCUGAGAUACAUUAACAUCACAAUGCUUUCUUGACCAUCGAGUCACACAGAAAUGAAACCAGUCUGAAAAGAUUUACUUUCCACAAGGCUAUUUAAGUUACGACUACAAUUUUUCUAGAGUCUCUUCUAGUUCCAAAGUACACAUAUAUGAGUUAUCUUUUUCUUUUCAAGACGAAUUUUCUGGUUAUGCUCCAUUGUAAAUCCCCUUUCGAAGUAGAAAGGACUUGUAAAUAAAUAAUAUGAGAAAUUAUUGUUACUUUUAUCUAGGUUGAGGGGUUUAUAUAAAUUCUGAGAAUAAUGAAGGAUUCUAUACUAUGUAAUCUAUGAAUCCCAUUUUUUGCCGAAGAUGUGACAUGCCAUGAGACUUUGCUGAUGUGAAUGGAUACUAUACAUCUUAUGUUCUUUUUCAAUCACUUAUUCUCCUACCUUAUGAUGCCUGUUUUAUUUUCUUGCCCCAAGUAAUGUUCUCUCUCAGUCUCUGAGGACUUAAUAGCUCCAUAAAGGCAAGGAUCUUUAAUUUUUUUUCGGUUUUAUUCACUGCUUUAUAUCUAGAGCCUAAAACGAUGUCUGGCAUACAAUAAACACUCAAUAUUUAUUGACUGUUGAAUGAGUUUUGGUUUUUAAAUUUAGAUGAUGAAAGCAAAUAUAUAUCUAGCCACUAGUAUGUGCCAAAUACUCUUUUAAGCACUUUACACCUAUUAACUUAUUUAAUCCUUAAAAUAACCCACACAGGCACAGAGAGAAUAUAAAUUUGUCCAAGUUUAUUGGCAGAGGCAGGAUUUGAACUCAAGCAGUCUGCCUCUGAGUCAUUAACCACUGCACUACUACCGACUCUCUAGAUAGCAUACUUGGUAGAGAAAAAACAUGUAUGUUUUCCUUGCUUUUUAAUAUUAAUUUUUAAUUUUAUAUUUCUAAGUUAUUUUAUUAAUUUAAAUAUAUAUUCAUGUAUGCACUGACUAUAUAUUACAAAUUUGUGGUUCAAAAUUCAAAAGGUACAAAGAGAUAUAAAAGGAAAAGUCUCUCUCCUCACUCCUGUUCUUGAGCCAACCAGUUCUCCUUCCUAGAGGCAGCCAACAGCUUGUUCAAGUCUAAUUCUGGCUCUGCGCUCCCCAGACAUGUAACUUCAGGCAGAAUACCUAAUUUUUCUGUGCCUUGGUUCUCCGGCCUGAAAAAUGGGGAUAAUAAAAUACCUCCCACAUGGAGUUUUUAUGAGAAUUAAGUGAAUUAAUAUUUGUAAAAUGCUUAGAAUGGUACCUGUCACAAAAUAAGUGCCAAUAAAUAUUAGCCAUUAUUAAUUUUGUGAGUCCUUCCAGAUAGUUUACUCAUAUGUAAGAUAUAUACAUAUAUACACACACACACCUACACAUACUCCUUUACCUCUCCCCCAGCCAUUUUUUUUACAAAUACAAUUAUGCACCUUGCUUUUCUCACAUUUUAAUUAAAAAAUAAGUCCGCAAAUAUAUUUUCUUCUGAUAACCCACUAUCAGCAUUUCUGAUGUGUGUCUUCUUGGCUUGAAGAAGGAUAACUAUGGUUUCCUGCUACUUUUUUUAUUAUUUCUUAUUAUUGUGAUGGACAUUGACGGAGAAUAGCCAUUCUGAGGGCAACCUGCGAUAGGUAGGAAUUAACAAAAUCAGUCAUGAAAAAUGAGUGAUGGUAUAGAUUGUGACCUUUUGAAGCUGGUUUUGGUCUCUGAUCCAUGUGGCUGUGGCAGCACCAAGAAUUUCUGUAUCAGGAAGUUGGGUACUAGCAAUGAUCUGACAAGAAAGUGGGGCCGGGGGAUCUGUCUUAGAGUUGCAUUUUCAUAGAAAACAUACUGUUUUCACCUGGCUUUAACACAUAUAUGAAGUGGGGGUGUUUGCUGAUGCAAGCUGUGAAGGAGAGGCAUUAUACCUGCCCCCCUCCCCUUUCCAUCAAAGCAUUCCUUGACCCUACCCCUGCCUCAUGGCACUGUUGCCCUUGGCUCUACCAUUUGGAGAAACAAAACAAAAUGAAAACAAAACAAAAGAGAGAAACAUAAGACCCAUUUUCCUGAUAGGCGCCCUGCCCGUAGAAGAAGAGCUGCAGCUUUGGCCCAGUCGGGAGGGUAUGACAACCCCAAGUAGAGAGCUACUGAGAGAGGGAAGAGGAGAAGUAGGGGUUUUAAUUGCAAUUGCAUUUUGAUAGGAAGGGUAGUUGAUCAUACAACAGGUGAAGGAGGUCUUCUAGGGAGUGGGAGGGCCCAGACACUGGCUGUUAGCCAAAUCCUCUCUCAGCUGCUCCCUGUGGUUUGGUGACUCAGGAUUACAGAGGCAUCCUGUUUCAGGGAACAAAAAGAUUUUAGCUGCCAGCAGAGAGCACCACAUACAUUAGAAUGGUAAGGACUGCCACCUCCUUCAAGAACAGGAGUGAGGGUGGUGGUGAAUGGGAAUGGAAGCCUGCAUUCCCUGAUGCAUUUGUGCUCUCUCAAAUCCUGUCUUAGUCUUAGGAAAGGAAGUAAAGUUUCAAGGACGGUUCCGAACUGCUUUUUGUCUCUGGGCUCAAGUUAGAGAACCUUGCAAUCCUCAAAGAUGUUAGGGCAGGAACAAUCUGUCUUUCCAACCCCGUUUGAAUGGCUUUUAGGUCACAAGUUAUCCAAGAAUGUCAGGGAAACUUUGCAGUUACACACCGACUCUCUGGUAAGGAAGCUCCAGAGAGACUGUGCCAUGUGAUGUCCCACAUCAGUAGCCUGGAAGCCACAGAGUAACCCCAGACCCCUGACUCCCGGUCCCUUUGUCCUCUGAGGAGCUUCUCGGUCAGGGCCCUCAUCCCAAAUUCAGCCUUGUUGACCUUUUUCAAACUCAGCACUGAAAGGCUUCAAGGGCAACAGGAAGUCCCCAGGGAAGGGCAGCAUCACCUUUAGGGGCUGCUGCUUUACUGGCUCUGUGCACAGAGAGUUCUGCACAUGGAAUGUGGACACUACAUGUUUCUGAGCUGCUGCAGCUGCUCUGAACAAACGGACUCCCCCACUCCCGGGGAAUCGAAACUACACAGUUUCACUCUGUCUUGUUGUGUUGUCAGCUGGCUUUCAGCAUUCCCUUGUCCCCACAGAAACCUCUACAUGGAUCCCUUGCAUGGGUGUUGUACAAUGGGAGCUUUCAUUCCUGCUUUGGCACCUGCAACCCUGGGUUAACAGUACCAUGGAGCGGAGAAAGCGUUUACCAGAGUGCGGUGCCGCGAUCCCACCCCGUGCAGCAGUUGAGCAGAGGUCAUCUUUAAGUAAAAGCCAUCUGAUAUUUUACUGCAAGCAUGUGGCAGUGAAGACGACAAUGACUGCUAGUAUGGUUUGUGCCACUGCCUUGAUUUCCGCUCAGGCACCAGCAGUCUUACCCACCAUUGCUUUGGUGCAGUUGGUGGAGAUAUCAAUGGAUCAAAAGCGCAAGUAAUAUGUGAGUAUUAUUAUGAAAGGAGCUUGGACCUCAUGAACCACUUAGAAAGAUAUUGGUACAUCCAGGGAUCUGUGGAUGACACUUUGAGUACCAUUGAAAUAGGAAUUAAUCCCUAGAUUAAAAUGAAAUAAUGGGGCUCAGUCCACAGUCUAACCCAAUUUAUAAUUUGACUAUGUUCAAAAAAGUUUACCUUCACAUAUUUUUGUUACUUUAAGAGCAAUGUGCUGUCACUAAAGAAAAUGAUGACGUCAAUUUUUUUUUUUUUAAAAAAAGCAUUUUUGUUACUCAUCACUUUGGGCCAUUGCAAAGGCUGCCUAUUGCUAGACAAGAAAGAAGUCAUUUACCCCACAUCUAUGGUUGUUGUCAUCAAAUGAUCCAUUUAGUGACUCUCUCAGCAAUCAAUGGCAGUUAAUCACAAUGAGUGAGCAAUUUUGGAAAGCUGUGCCAAGUGUCAUUUUGAUAACCAGCUUUUCAGAAGACCAGAGCUGAACAGGAGAGUAAUGGGGGAAUACAGGUAUUCCCACAUCAAUUGGAGAAGUAAUAAUUCCAGCAACAACACUAUUGUCAACAUGGUAUUUUCUCUAGUGAUUCACUUCGUAACAUGUGUUUAUCCUUCCAGAGCAGGGAAGUAUACACCUAUGCCCUUUCAAACUGACAUGUAUAGAAGUCAGAUUUAGGCUUUUCAAGAGAAUUGCCCGGCCCAUGCUGAAAGCUAUAGUAGAAAGUCAGCUGACUCAUCCAGAGCAUUUUUUAACUCACCAACAAGCAGAGGCAGGAGCAGAGCGUGUCAAAGGCCAUUUGAGAGCAGUUAUGCCAACUGGGCAGGCACAAGCCAUGCCAAUUUUUGUGGUUUCUCCAAUUCGUGUCAGAACAAGGACUUGACUCUCAGUUUCCCACACUGGGAGGGUUUCUCUGAGUUAUGCCCAUUGAAUGAGUGUAACAAGGUGAUCUGAUUCAUCCUUGGUCACGAAGCAGGGAAAGAAAGAGUAUUUUUCUAUUUCAAUGGUUAAGGGCAUAAAAACCAUGCAUUGGUCCCAUAUCAGUAGAUAAUCAAUGGUAAAGCAUAAGUAUGCAGCCUUGGUGUAGAGAGUGGCACUUGCUACUCAUUCUUAUGUUUUCAGAGUCAUCGUACUUGUCUUUAUGUUUGAGCUUGUAGAUGUGCUGCCAUGAGGAAUUAACGUUAGAUUCUUGAGCACUUUCUUUCACCUAUUUCUCAGUGUAGCUGCAACGCUCUGUUUACUGUGCUAGGUAUGUCCUAGAAAGUCAAAUGAUUCAGUCAAACCAGCACCAUCAGAGUCAGUGUGAUCUUCCUAAGACACAUCUGAUCAUAAAGCCCCAAACCUACAAAUAAAGGGGAGGGGGCCUGCUGGCUAGCCUGGCAUAGAUCCCAUAAUCAGGGCCUUAUUGACCUCUUUCAUUGCAUCUCCUUCACUUCCUCAUUUGCCACAGGUUUCAGAUACAUGGAUGUGUCUGCAAGAUGCUAGAUGCCUCCUGGAACACAUUUGCCUGGUGGCAGGAGCCAAGUCCUGGCAGAAGUCAGGAAGCAGGUCUAACGGGCAUCAGCGGAGAAACUAGGAAUGCUAACCAUUGUCUCUUUCUCUUUCAGAGCUGUCUCUCUUCAUUUCCAAAAUUAAAAGAUUUUUACUUCCCCCCACCUCAUUUAUACAUUUCGCUGGUCAUUGUAGGCCUUCUCAUGAUAUAAAAAACAAUGACCAUUACCUCAUUGGUAAAUAGGUAGAUCAAAGUCUUUAUGUAUAGCUACGUAUCUAAUUUUUUUCCUUAAUUAUCUCAAUACCAAAAUCAAGACAAGUUGUGGGUUGGGUAGGCACAGGAGGAUGGGAGUGGGCUUGCCUUCCAGGCAGCCUGACAAGCCUUGCCGAGGUCAGGUUGCUUUGCCAUCAGAGUCCAUCUUCUGACUUCAGGCAUGUCAGGUCUUUGGCAGUCUCUCCUCUCUGGCUUCCCCUCAGUUAAUCCCCUCCUGGCCAAGCUUGUCAGGUGGGCCCUAUUUGGGUCCAAAGAAGCACUAAAUAAAUGUCGAUUGAGGCAGCUUAUCCUAAUGAUGGCAAUUAUGACAGUGAUGUUUUUCUUUUAAGCCAUAAAAGCACUAGAUGUUACAGAUGGAAGGGAUUUUCAAUAAUUUUUUGGAGGAAGAAACUGAGCCCCUGAGAGGCAAAGUAUAUAGUUUGAUUGCAAGUUCUCCCUAGUAGGAGAGGCCAGGAAUCAACCAAAAGAGCAAGAAAAGAAGCCACUACAGUAAUGAGCUUCGGCUGCCUGCACCUCUUCCAGCCACAAAGGAAAAAAAAAUGAGAAAGCUGCCUCUAUUCUACUUCUUUUCAAAGCUGCCCAACUGUUAAUAUUUUAGUAAGUAAGAAGCAGUGUCUAAAUUCUCAUUCAAGUUCUCCCAUCCAUUGAGUUAAUAAUCUAAAUUAUAAGAAUAUUUAUUUUUCACAGGAUUAAGUAAACUUUUACUUAAUGUAAAAACAUGGCUCAUAAACAUUUGUAUUCUUCCCAAACUAAUCCAUAUGCCAACAUGCUUAUCUUUCUUCCCUGGGGUAGGAAACCAGGAGACUUUAUGAAAAUAUAUGAAUACAGGCACAUGGGUAUGUUUUUUCCAUGUGGUAGCUCAAAUAUGGUUCUUCCACCUCAAUCUCAAGCUCUCCAGACUGCAGACAUCUUAUCUACACAUCAAACUAGCAUUUAUUUUACCAAGGGCAUUGCUUCCCCUUUUCUAUCCCUUAUUUCAACAGACAGGAGAAGAAUAUCCAGAUAAAGGUCUCCAGGCAAACACACUAGAGAACCUGUAAAAGACUCUGAGGAUGUUUGACGCCUUGAGUCUCUACACUGAUGCCAUCAUCUUACUUCCUAAUCUCUGAUCUUUUCCAGGACUCGGCUCCCUAUGCCCAGUAAAUAUAAAUUUUCAGAACUGUGAUCACAGCCCUGGCUAAAUAGUGCCCCUGGUCAAACCUUCGUAGGCAAAAUGUUUUCUCCAGCUUUCUGCUAGUUCUUAGAAGCCAGUGUGAAGGAAAAGGGAUGUCAUGAAGCAUCACUCUCCAAGCUGAUCAUCUAUUCCAUUGCCUUGAGAAUUAUGUAGAAUAAAAUCACUGUCUCCCUAAAUGAUAAAAGUCUAAGACUUUGUCCCAAAGUUGGGUGUUCUCUGAGGAAUUGCUGGAGACACUAUUGCCCCCUGUGGCUAGGUAAGCUUUCCAGACACAAUCCAAGGGAAGGAAAUGCCUUUGGUGAAGGAGGAGAGACUCCUACGUGGCAUGGGGACCAGCAGCUGAGAGUGGUUGUAUGGGUAAUUCACACCAAAAGCACUCCAAAUGCUACUUUCAUCUAAAUGGACUAUAAGGGUUGUCAUCAGGCCAGGGAGAUGUAGAUAUUUCAAAUCUGAAUUUCACAGUAUUAGCAUUACAUCAAGCCAAAAAGAUUAAGAAAGUAAAUGACUGUAAUUUGUCUAAAGCAGAAUGUUUGCUAAAACCAGGCAGGUCUCUAAAAAAAAAAAAAAAGAGACAGCAGUUGAAAUUAUUUUGUAAAUGUUAAUUGUAUAAUUUACAUUAAACUCUUUCCUAUGUAUUAUAGCCUUUGAGAUAUGCUAUUUAGUCUUAAGAGAACUGGUUACCUCAUUUGGAAUGACUCAAUACAAAGAUCUUAAAUAUUUAACCCUGAUCUUGGUAUAAAUGUAAAACAGCUGGUUUCUUUUUAAGAAAUUUUGACUUUUAUUAAGCAAAACAAUUCUGAGAGUGCAUUUUCUGACAAAUUCAUAUGAUUAACCUCAACAUUCUGUUUACAAUAUAUAAUCACACAGGAAAAAAUGCAUAAAAGCAGGAUAACUUACUUAAUUCACAAAUUCUUUGUUAUUUCCCAUAGAGUGUUAUUUCCCAGAGUUUCACAUCUGGAAAAGCUCAUGCAAUUAAACAGUAUGUCCAAGAACAGAUCAUCUGAAGGAAUUCCAAAUAUAUGCUUUUUUUUUUUGGCAUUGCAUUGCUGGUUUUAUCUAAUGGAGAGCAUUUGAACACAAUAAGUCAAGGGAAAAAUUUUUAAAAAGACUCUGUGUUAUAGUGUCCUAGGACAUGAAGGGACACCCUAAGUCUGCUGGGGGUUGUCCUGUGCCUCAAGGUAAGACUGUACCAAAACAAUUCCAGAGAAUUCACUGUCUUAAAUAUUUAGGAAAGGAGCUCUAUGCUGCCAUUGAUCCUGUGUCCUCAUUAUUUAUUUGCAGCCAUGAAGGCUUCCUUUGUUCAUAAUCUAUAUCCUUCCUCUUAAGCCCAUUUUUUUUCCUCUCUCUCUCUCUGAGAACAAGGCCACCAGACAAAGUCACAGCCCCAGCAGGCUCCUGCUGCUCUCCAAAUUCUUACAACUGCACAAUGGUCACUGCAGAGAAAACUCAACUCAUUGCUGUGUGGGAGGUCAGAAUUAAAAUGGCAAUAGUUGAGAAGGGAGGAGAAGAGUAAAAAUAAAGAAGAAAAUAGGCGUUCUUCAGCCACAGAAAACAUUUUAUGACAAUGCUACAGCACAAAAUUAGCUAACACAUUGCAAGACUUGAUUACAUGACAUUGGAGGAAUUAUUCCAUUUGGCAUUUUACUCCCAGCCUUUUCAAGAGAGCUGUAUUAAAAUCUGGCAGAGGGGAGGGGAGGGGCUGUGUCUGCUUUGCAGCAGGGAUUAGAAUGAUGUAUGACAGGAGUUUAUGAUGCUGCCUCUCAGGUUUUUCUGACCUCCCUAUCUAAAUAGGUUCCUGCCUUCCCCCACCAUUGAUAUUAACCAUCAUAGCAUUAUGCUUAUUUUCUGCUUAGCAUUUAUUACAAUCUGUAAUUAAUUUUUUAAAAAUCGGUUUGUUGUCCCAUCUUCACACCAAAAUAUUGUUCCAGGAAGGCAAUAACCCUACUUGUUAAUCAUUUUUAUACCUGUAUCACAGGCAGCACCUACAUAAAUAGGAUAAAAGAAUAAGUGUGUAAACAAAUGCUAUCCCCAGAACCCAGACCUCCUUGACUCCAUUGCCUUAGAAGACUUUAUUUCCUGCCCACCCAUCCCUCUGUAGCAGGAGCCUCAUGAAUCAUAUUUGUCUGCAUUGCCUUUAUUAAUGGAUAACUAUGGACAGAGUUCUCCUUGCAGUUCUCCUCUGUGUGAGCAUAGCCAGCCAACACCCUACAGUUAAAGCUUGCAGUUGUUUGGUGUUUAACUUUGAGCACAUCGAUGGACUCAAGUUUCUAUUUGCAAAGUCAGACCACAGAAAUUAAGUUAAUUGAGACAUGAUGGCAAAAGAAUUUCCCUUUGGGGAUGAGUUUAUAAGCUUCUCCAGUCUUUUGGGAUGAUUGGCACAUCUUUUCUGCCUAAUCCUUUCCCCGUACAAAAAUGAAGGAAAAAUGAUCUGCUAUGGAAGAAAGAAACAAAGGACUGUGCAGACAUUUGAUUAUCUUUUAAAGUGAGAGAUGAACUAAAAACCAUGUAAUGGCCUCUUUAAGUGAAUGGUAGAGAGGAAAAAAAGCUAAAGUUGAAACUAGCAAAUCUUUUCUUCAGAAAAGCAAGCUGAAACUUUGGUUGAGUAAAUAAAACCUGCUAUAGCUUAUAUUAGAAAAGCACAUAGGGAGAGUAACCAAAAUAAAAUUUGCAUCUAAGAGUUAUCCAUUAGUUAGAGGUUUGUAUUUAUCAUUUUCAGGCUUUGAGUUAUAUGGUGCUUGUGUAUUUUCAAAUCUUUAUUUGCAAAUUGCAGUGCAUAUGGUGUAGUGGGGAGAACAGUGGGCCUAGCACAUAGAGGGGCCCCAAAAAAUCUCAGGUAAAAGAAUAAAAGUCAAGUAACAAGAAGAUUGUCCAAGUAUCACUUAUGUAUAACCUUGGAAAAAUGAUGUAACCUCUCAGAGCCUCAAAAUCCCAUUUUGUAAGAUGCUGUCUGCCCAACUCAAGAGGGUUAUAUAAAACCCAAAUGACAUAAUGCAUAUUAAAAAUAUAUAUAUUAUAAAGCCAAAUUAAAUGUGAAGUAUAAUAGUAAUAUUUUGUAACAGAAUUA